CUUUUACUCGGAAGACUUCGCUGAACACAAAUAUUAGUGUUUCAAACCGUACAAUAUUUUUUUUUGCAUUUUUUUCACACACAAAUGGCACUUACACUGACAAUAUAAUUGUGAUGCGUUUUACUGUUUUGAAACACUAAUAUUUGUUUUCAGCGAAGUCUGCCAGGUAUAAC
This is a non-coding RNA of Pelobates cultripes (western spadefoot toad), 173 nucleotides long. Lineage: Eukaryota; Metazoa; Chordata; Amphibia; Anura; Pelobatidae. The record is from the annotation of a GenBank genome assembly.